This 301-nucleotide ribosomal RNA is filed under the name uncultured bacterium. RNAcentral's name for it is "partial 16S ribosomal RNA". It matches the Rfam family "Bacterial small subunit ribosomal RNA", at positions 509 to 809 of the family's 1533-position model. The record is from RNAcentral.
CAGCCGCCACGGGAAUACGUAGGUGGCGAGCGUUGUCCGGAAUUAUUGGGCGUAAAGGGAGCGCAGGCGGACAUAUAAGUCCAUCUUAAAAGUGCGGGGCUCAACCCCGUGAGGGGAUGGAAACUGUAUGCCUUGAGUGCAGGAGAGGAAAGCGGAAUUCCCAGUGUAGCGGUGAAAUGCGUAGAUAUUGGGAGGAACACCAGUGGCGAAGGCGGCUUUCUGGACUGUAACUGACGCUGAGGCUCGAAAGCCAGGGGAGCGAACGGGAUUAGAGACCCCUGUAGUCCCUGUCUCUUAUACA